RNAcentral lists this long non-coding RNA (1484 nucleotides) under Nicotiana benthamiana. Its description in RNAcentral is "long non-coding RNA (NBEN_LNC006646)". Lineage: Eukaryota; Viridiplantae; Streptophyta; Magnoliopsida; Solanales; Solanaceae. The record is from RNAcentral.
CCUGCAUUUGUUAUGUUGGCAUUUUAAAAGCAUUUGCUAUUUUACCAUCUCAACAACAAGAAGAAAACAAAAAAAUUGCUUUUUUAUGUGUUCUUCCCGGUUGGAGAAUGAUUAAAACAUAAUAAAGAAUUUCUCCAUACUUUUCACACCCAAAUAAAACCUUAAAAGGACAGCCCGGUGCAUUAAGCUCCUGUUGUGCGCAACGUAAGGGGAAGGGCCGGAGUUACCCUACAUUUCUGCAAGAAGCUGUUUCCAUGGCUCGAACCUGUGACCUCCUGGACACAUGGCAACAACUUUACCAGUUUCCCAAUAAAAACUUAACUUAUCCCCCCCCCCCAAAAAAAAAAGAUUACAUAGAAUCUUGUAUAUCUUGGAUAAAAAAAGAUUCUUGGUUUCUUAUAAAAACAUACAUUUCCCGGUUUCACAUCUUAAGAUUUAAGAAGCACAGAAAAGACUUGAUAUGAAGUAUUCUUCAUGUGAACUAAACAUAUUGGAUAAAAAAAUAUUUUUGGUUUCUCAUAAAAACAUACAUUUUCGAUUUCACAUCUUAAGAUUUAAGAAGCACAGAAAAAACUUGAUAUGAAGUAUUCUUCAUGUGAACUAAACAUAUAUUUGUAUCUUAAAAUUCAUGUUAACUUUCUUAUAAAAUGAAUGAAAAAUCUCCAAUAAUAGCCUAAUUUUGAUCAGUGCUCACUCUUUAGUUUCCUUUUUAGAAUAAGCUUCAUAUUUCAGUUAGUCGGCAUAAGCACUUAAUGUAAUAAAUUUGGGGCUGUUUUUCCUAUAAUCAGUGUUCACUCUUUAGUUUCCUUUUUAGAAUAAGCUUCAUAUUUCAGUUUGUCGGCAUAAGCACUUUAUGGAAUAAAUUUGGGGCUGUUUUUCCUAUAUAUUUUACCACGGUGCACUAAGUCAUACACUAGACAAGAAUUUUAAUGCAAAAAUUAGUUCAUUUUGGAGUCAAUUUCUGCAAUUAAGGGAUUAGGUUUUGUUUUUUCCUAUCAAUUUUUUUAAAAUAAAUCUUCAAUUGCACCUAAAAAUUUUAACAUGCAGAUAAAACUUAGGUUUUUCGACAUUCAUUAUUGAUUACAAGUAAGCAAACGAUUGAAUAUUUUAAAACCACAAAAAUUACCUGAGAAUUUUUGACGAUCAAGGUCGUCAAGCAACUUUAAGCUAUAUGAGAAAUCUUCUUAAUAUCCUGCAUUACCCAAAACCCCAGACAAAAAAGAAAGUUAACAAAUUAGGAUAAAAAAACCACAGUUUCAGAAAAUUCAAAAACCCAAAAAAAAUAGGUUCUCUCGUUUACAAAGUGAAAAUGAAAAGAGAAAGAUAUACCAGAGAUAAUUGAUUAGAGAGUGAAGAGUGAACAAGGAAGAUGAGUCCUAAAGGAGAUUUUGUUGUGAAGUGAGAGUUAGGAGGACAAUGAGUCAGAGAGAUUCCUGAAUUCGAUAUGUGGAUUUUAACGCAUUUCUCUUUACUUCGUCGGGACA